GUGCCAGCAGCCGCGGUAAUACGUAGGUGGCAAGCGUUGUCCGGAUUUAUUGGGCGUAAAGCGAGCGCAGGCGGUUCCUUAAGUCUGAUGUGAAAGCCCACGGCUCAACCGUGGAAGGUCAUUGGAAACUGGGGAACUUGAGUGCAGAAGAGGAGAGUGGAAUUCCAUGUGUAGCGGUGAAAUGCGUAGAUAUAUGGAGGAACACCAGUGGCGAAGGCGACUCUCUGGUCUGUAACUGACGCUGAGGCUCGAAAGCGUGGGGAGCAAACAGGAUUAGAUACCCUGGUAGUCC
Molecule: ribosomal RNA, 292 nt
Filed under: uncultured microorganism
Description: partial 16S ribosomal RNA
Rfam family: Bacterial small subunit ribosomal RNA
Source: RNAcentral